This 914-nucleotide ribosomal RNA is filed under the name uncultured marine archaeon. RNAcentral's name for it is "bacterial SSU rRNA". It matches the Rfam family "Archaeal small subunit ribosomal RNA", at positions 1 to 922 of the family's 1478-position model. The record is from RNAcentral.
UUCCGGUUGAUCCUGCCGGACCUGACUGCUAUCGGAUUGAUACUAAGCCAUGCGAGUCUUUGCAGUAAUGCAAGGCAUACGGCUCAGUAACACGUAGUCAACUUACCCUAUGGACGAGGAUAAUCUCGGGAAACUGAGCAUAAUACCCGGCAGACCACUUAUCCUGGAAUGGUUAGUGGUUAAAAUGAUUCGUCGCCAUAGGAUGGGACUGCGGCCUAUCAGCUUGUUGGUGAGGUAAUGGCCCACCAAGGCGAUUACAGGUACGGGCUCUGAGAGGAGAGGCCCGGAGAUGGGUACUGAGACAAGGACCCAGGCCCUAUGGGGCGCAGCAGGCGAGAAAACUUUGCAAUGUGCGAAAGCACGACAAGGUUAAUCCGAGUGAUUUCUGCUAAAGGAAUCUUUUGUUAGUUCUAAAAAUACUAGUGAAUAAGGGGUGGGCAAGUUCUGGUGUCAGCCGCCGCGGUAAAACCAGCACCUCAAGUGGUCAGGAGGAUUAUUGGGCCUAAAGCAUCCGUAGCCUGUUCUAUAAGUUUGCGGUUAAAUCUAUACGCUCAACGUAUAGGCUGCCGUAAAUACUGUAGAACUAGGGAGUGGGAGAGGUAGACGGUACUCGAUAGGAAGGGGUAAAAUCCUUUGAUCUAUUGAUGACCACCUGUGGCGAAGGCGGUCUACCAGAACACGUUCGACGGUGAGGGAUGAAAGCUGGGGGAGCAAACCGGAUUAGAUACCCGGGUAGUCCCAGCUGUAAACGAUGCAGACUCGAUGAUGCAAUGGCAUAGAGCUAUUGCAGUAUCGCAGGGAAGCCGUUAAGUUUGCCGCCUGGGAAGUACGUACGCAAGUAUGAAACUUAAAGGAAUUGGCGGGGGAGCACCACAAGGGGUGAAGCCUGCGGUUCAAUUGGAUUCAACGCCGGG